RNAcentral lists this long non-coding RNA (2782 nucleotides) under Daphnia magna. RNAcentral's name for it is "uncharacterized LOC116920406, transcript variant X21". Lineage: Eukaryota; Metazoa; Arthropoda; Branchiopoda; Diplostraca; Daphniidae. The record is from RNAcentral.
AGAGAUUUUAUAUAAAGCCCUGCAUCAUAUUCAAAUUUCUUUUCCAUGCAGACUGUCGUCGUUAGCACUCGUAAGUACUCGCGUAGUCGUAAUUUUAAGUUAGUGUAUUCUUGAAGUUGUUCGUUCCUUAAAGUAUUUUUAUGUUUUUUUACUCCUGUUACGUCUUCUGUGGCUAGAUUUGUGUAUGAACGUCUUAAUUACAUUAGCAACAGUAGUUUAUAAUUAACCACAUGAAUUUUGGUUAUUAAUGCCUUUCCUGCCUGUAAUCUUUUUGCAAAUAUAACUUUUAAAAUUAUGUAAGCGGCCAUGGCGUGUGGGGUAGGCAAGGUCGUUGUUAGUAAGGUUUAAGUAGCCAGUCCAUUUUCAAUUCCCAACAAGUUUAGAUUGAAUCAUUUAUAUCGACCAAUUUCUACUUUGUGACUUAUAUUAUCAUUGAAAGUUCUUUUCUUUAUAUCCCAUUUGAUGAUUUUUAAAACUUUUGAAAGGCAGCAUGCCAGAAAGAACAUGGUUGGCAAUUUGACAAAGCUUGUUUCCUGUCCAGGUAAUGUUAAUGCACCCUGUUUUAUGGUGAGUUUGAUAAUGAAUCAGAUUUUCUAGAUGUGAUUGGUUUUUUUUAAAUCUAGGGUUAGUGCAAAAGUAGUCCAUCAAUCAUAAGUGCCAUGUAGGAUGACUGUAGAUAACUUGGUUGAAGUGUGGAUGAGUGCAUGGUGCUGGGUUAAUCCUGAAUGUGUGCAUGUAUUUGUAUGUGCUACAUGACCUGCUAUUCAUUGUUCUGGUCUGAGUUAAAAAAUUUUGUUAUUCUCCCAUUUAAUAAUUUCAGUGACUUUUGAUAUAUUGUUAUCUGAAGAUAACUUGGUAGGUAUUUGUACAGAGCACAUGGUGCUGGCUUGUCUACCUGACCAUGAUUUAUUCCAAUGGGUUGAUUUAUGAUGGGUGAGUUAAAGAAUUGGGUACAGGUAUAGUACACAUAAUGAAAAUCAUUUCUUGUUAAACAUGAAUUUUUCUUUAGAUGUCAAAUUACUGACAAAUAUCUGAAGUUGGUUAAUUUAAUUUCUCUUCAAUGUGAGUUUAAUCCAGUGUUAUAAUUCUCUAUAUGCUGGUUGAAUGCAUCAUGAAGAACAAGAAUAAUAUUGGUACUGUUUCAACGAUGUUUUUAAAUGUUGAAAUCAGUUGCUGUUUGCUGACGUUUCCGAUUGCUAGAUCUGGAGUCGUGAUUGACAAGCUGUCUUUUUGAGACCAAUAUUGUCCAUUGGUGGAAUUCUAUAUUUGCUUAUUGAAUGUGGGCCAUUUUGGUUGGUCAAAAUUCAACCGAUGCUACUGUUCGUUUUUGUUCUCUGUUGCCAAUGUACGAUAUGAUCCAUAAUUUGUUUUAAAUUAUUCUCGGUUUGAAAAACUAGGAUGUUUGUGUUGGUGUUGCAUCAUAUAGAACUCAGGAAGGAAACAGGUGGUGGCAAGUAAAAUAAUGGACAAGGUAAAAGUUGCAACAUAUUGGGAGGAUAUUGUGAUGGAAGUUGGAAAUUAAAAGUAUGGUUAAUAAUUAAAAUUACGUCCGAAGAUUUCUUUAAUUUUCUGCGUGUAUAAUUUCCUAAACUUCUAAAGGCAGGAUAAUUAUGUAAGUUGGUUUUGACAAGGCCCAUGGUGCUGGUUUCUCCUGAUUUUGUUUCACACUGUGGUGGUAAGUUGUAUGAGCUGAAAUUUUUAAGAUAUUGAAAGGAUUAUUUCUUGAUUUAAUCCUUGUACUGUGGAUGGAUUUGCUAUAUGACAAGAUGUUUAUUGUUCCUGCUGCUUGGUGCUCUUUGAAUGUGAAUUGUUUGACAUUGAGGUGGUAAGAUACUUAAUCUAUGUGAAUUGAAAGUAUUGGGUUGGAGUUGGUAAGUUGCUGAUUUCCUUAUUAUGGUCUUUCAUCUGUAGGUACUGCUUUGCAUCGUUCUCUCGUGUGGACAUGGUACAAAUGUGAGGAAACGGCAAUAUUCGUGCUGGGAUAGAAUAGUCAAUAUCAAGUUUGUUAAUUUUAAUAACUUUUGAUAGGGAGGACAACUACAUGACUUGGUUGGUAUAUGGACAGAACAUGAUGUUGGAUUGUCCUCCUGGCAGUUUUGUAUCCAGUGGUGGUCUUGCUUUAUUUGUGAGUUUGUUGAUGGUUACCUGAUGAUGAUAAGUAUGAAAAUAAGUUACUGGAAAUCAUUUUAAGGUUUUUACAGGUAUGGUUAUUUGUGGAGUUUGCUAUGCCUCGGUGUUACUGUUUUGAUGAUUUAAGUACCCACGAAGCAACCGAUUGAUUUUACAUAGUAAACUUGUAAUCGAUUUUUUUGUGUUGAAAGAUGUUCUGUUGUGGUUUAUCAUUGAUCUGUUAGUAUACUUUAAAGCGACUGUUUUGUUCUGCAUCCGCACUAGCCGAAGAUAUCGAUGGACUGAAAGGGGCGUGACAGAUGACAUACCAAUUGAAGUUGAAAAUUCGCAUGGAGACAUAAUUUGUUUUCCUAAAGUAAAUUCAUCAGUGUAUAUGUUAUUUUCUGUGGCCCUGUUUAUGCUUAACUUGUGAUAAGUCCAUGCGGUGGUAGGCUAUUCUAUGGUAAUCCAUUUUCAAUGUUAUGAGGUGGAUAAGGGGUUAUUCACAUAGGCACUUAUUUGUUCGAAAUUGUCUUGUUACUUUUUCGUCUUUUAUUUGCUACAUAACGGGUACUUCUGGUGAGAUAACUGAUAUAGUUUCGCCUACAUUAUCGGAUUAUAACUAUUUUUAUAAUUGUAAAUUGAAUUGAUAAUAAAAGCGUUUCAAAUUAAA